CUGCCUCCUGUGGUCACAGAGAAGUGGCUCAAAACAUUGAAUGAAGGCCAGAUCUUGCCAAGGAAAGCUAACAAUGACCUGUUUUAAUAAAUAAGACCCAUUUAUAAUAACUAUUAGAACAGGCUAAGAAUGGCUUCCAUGAACUUAUAUGCUCUUCUAUACUCCCUUUUAUUACUGAAGUGGUAUAGAAGGUAUAUCUCAACCCACUCCAUGUCUCCAAGAUCUCAAACUCUGUGUUGCUACAGUAGUAAAUAUGCCUUUUAUGCUUAGUACUUUCUUCUCAUCCCUCUACUCCCUCUUACCCUCACUCACUACAGCACUUGGGCUGCAUGGUGCCCCAAACAAACUAGAUGUUUUUUAUGUACUGUCAACUAAAUUUCAGUUCUGUUUUGGAGAGAGUAUAUUACAAAAGCAAAAAUAUAUAUAACAUAUUUUAGCAAAUGUACUACUGUGGUGCUGAAUGUCAAUAGUGGGGAAAGGUGUGCAUGUUGUGGACAGGGAGUAUAUGGGAACUCUUCGCACAUUCCACUCAAUUUUGCUGUAAACCUAAAUGCUCUAAAAAUAGACUUUAUUAAUUUACAUAUGCAUAAAUUAUAUAUUUAUAAUUAUAUAAUAGAUAUAAAUUAUACAUAAUAUGUAAAGUAUUGUUUAUAUAUAAUUA
RNAcentral lists this long non-coding RNA (661 nucleotides) under Pan troglodytes (chimpanzee). RNAcentral's name for it is "long non-coding RNA NONPTRT001168". Lineage: Eukaryota; Metazoa; Chordata; Mammalia; Primates; Hominidae. The record is from RNAcentral.